GUCCUUUAGAAAAUAGAAUUUAAGGUCUAACCUGCCCACUGAAAUUUUAAAUGGCCGCAGUAAUUUGACUGUGCAAAGGUAGCAUAAUCAUUAGUUUUUUAAUUAAAAGCUUGUAUGAAUGGUUGGACGAAAUAAAAUCUGUCUCUAAAUAAAUAUUAGAAUUUAAUUUUUAAGUUAAAAAGCUUAAAUAUUAUUAAAAGACGAGAAGACCCUAUAGAUCUUUAUAAUAUUUUUUAUAAUUUUAUUUAGGAUUUAUUUAUUAAUUAUAUUAAAUAUUAUUUUAUUGGGGUAAUAAAAAGAUUAAAUUAAUUCUUUUUUUAAUUUAACAAAAAUAAUUGAUUAUAUGAUCCUUUUUUAUUGAUUAUAAGAUUAAGUUACCUUAGGGAUAACAGCGUAAUUUUUUUAGAGAGUUCAUAUCGAUAAAAAAGUUUGCGACCUCGAUGUUGGAUUAAAAAUUAUUUUGGGUGUAGAAGUUCAAAGUUUUGGUCUGUUCGACCAUUAAAUUUUU
RNAcentral lists this ribosomal RNA (508 nucleotides) under Oreodytes congruus. RNAcentral describes it as "partial 16S ribosomal RNA". The stretch from base 385 to 508 matches the Rfam family "Bacterial large subunit ribosomal RNA", at positions 2473 to 2597 of the family's 2925-position model. The record is from RNAcentral. Lineage: Eukaryota; Metazoa; Arthropoda; Insecta; Coleoptera; Dytiscidae.